CCUACGGGUGGCAGCAGUAGGGAAUUUUCGUCAAUGGGCGCAAGCCUGAACGAGCGAUGCCGCGUGAGUGAAGAAGGCCUUCGGGUCGUAAAGCUCUGUUGCGGGGGAAAAAAGGCAGCAUCAGGAAAUGGGUGCUGACUGAUGGUGCCCCGCCAGCAAGUCACGGCUAACUACGUGCCAGCAGCCGCGGUAAUACGUAGGUGGCGAGGGUUAUCCGGAGUUUUUGGGUUUAAAGGGUGCGUGGGCUGUGAGGUAAGUCAGCGGUGAAAUGCCCCCGCUCAACGGGGUGAAGUGCCAUUGAUACUGCCUUGCUGGAAUGCGGAUGCCGUGGGAGGAAUGUGUGGUGUAGCGGUGAAAUGCAUAGAUAUCACACAGAACACCGAUUGCGAAGGCAUCUCACGAAUCCGCGAUUGACGCUGAUGCACGAAAGCGUGGGUAUCAAACAGGAUUAGAUACCCCUGUAGUC
RNAcentral lists this ribosomal RNA (466 nucleotides) under uncultured bacterium. RNAcentral describes it as "partial 16S ribosomal RNA". It matches the Rfam family "Bacterial small subunit ribosomal RNA", at positions 338 to 795 of the family's 1533-position model. The record is from RNAcentral.